Molecule: ribosomal RNA, 440 nt
Filed under: uncultured bacterium
Lineage: Bacteria
Description: partial 16S ribosomal RNA
Source: RNAcentral
GACUACUGGGGUAUCUAAUCCUGUUCGCUCCCCACGCUUUCGCACCUGAGCGUCAGCACGUGCCCAGUCCGCUGGUUUCCCCCUUGGUGUUCCUGCCGAUCUCUACGCAUUUCACCACUACACCGGCAAUUCCACGGACCUCUGCACGGCUCGAGCCGCGCCGUAUGAGGUGGCCUCCGCCAGUUAAGCCAGCGGUUUUCACACCCCACGCGCGUGGCCGCCUGCGUGCCCUUUACGCCCAGUCAAUCCGGACAACGCUUGGCUCCUCUGUCUUACCGCGGCUGCUGGCACAGAGUUAGCCGAGCCUUAUUCCGGGGGUACCGUCGAUAUCUUCCCCCCGAAAAGGAGUUUACAACCCGAAGGCCGUCGUCCUCCACGCGGCGUUGCUCGGUCAGGCUUGCGCCCAUUGCCGAAAAUUCCUUACUGCAGCCCCCCGUAGG